This 72-nucleotide transfer RNA is filed under the name Apaloderma vittatum (bar-tailed trogon). It matches the Rfam family "tRNA". Rfam says of the family: Transfer RNA (tRNA) molecules are approximately 80 nucleotides in length. Their secondary structure includes four short double-helical elements and three loops (D, anti-codon, and T loops). Lineage: Eukaryota; Metazoa; Chordata; Aves; Trogoniformes; Trogonidae. The record is from Rfam by way of RNAcentral.
GGCCGGUUAGCUCAGUCAGUAGAGCAUGGCGCUAACAACGCCAAGGUCACGGGUUUGAUUCCCGUUUGGUCG